Molecule: antisense RNA, 104 nt
Filed under: Alishewanella agri BL06
Lineage: Bacteria; Pseudomonadati; Pseudomonadota; Gammaproteobacteria; Alteromonadales; Alteromonadaceae
Description: Vibrio RNA AS9
Rfam family: Vibrio RNA AS9
About the family: Identified by direct cloning an parallel sequencing experiments with 5S/tRNA depletion. Confirmed by Northern blot.
Source: Rfam by way of RNAcentral
CUGCUUGCAGCGCUUUUUGGUCAGUGUUAAACAAAUCAGACCGCGGCCAUAUUUGGCCAUAAAGUUAAUGGCUUCCGGCGUGACAUAUUCGGCCGCCAUCACCA